GCCCCUGUGGCCCAACGGUUAGAGGCGGGCUCCCUAAAAGAGCUUCAUCGUGUCGGUUCAACUCCGACCAGGGGCA
RNAcentral lists this transfer RNA (76 nucleotides) under Actinomadura rayongensis. Its description in RNAcentral is "tRNA-Leu". It matches the Rfam family "tRNA". Rfam says of the family: Transfer RNA (tRNA) molecules are approximately 80 nucleotides in length. Their secondary structure includes four short double-helical elements and three loops (D, anti-codon, and T loops). The record is from RNAcentral. Lineage: Bacteria; Bacillati; Actinomycetota; Actinomycetes; Streptosporangiales; Thermomonosporaceae.